RNAcentral lists this non-coding RNA (206 nucleotides) under Acidobacteriota bacterium. RNAcentral describes it as "Acidobacteria bacterium (drinking water metagenome) 6S RNA". It matches the Rfam family "6S / SsrS RNA". Rfam says of the family: E. coli 6S RNA was the first non coding RNA to be sequenced, but its function was unknown until recently. It consists of 184 nucleotides that fold into an extended hairpin structure with a large single-stranded internal bulge. The 6S RNA specifically associates with RNA polymerase holoenzyme containing the sigma70 specificity factor. The record is from RNAcentral. Lineage: Bacteria; Pseudomonadati; Acidobacteriota.
UUUUUACUGCGUGGUUCGUUACUGAACGCAAUAAUAAUUGAGCCAACACUUGAAUUGAGGGAGGCUAAUGCCAGUUCCGGUGCAAGUCGUCCACGUGACGGACUGCCAUAGGGAUCGGCUAUGAUGUUUCGAAAGGAACAGAUCGCCGCCCACCUGUUAUAAGCAGGUUCAAUUCAGGCGUUUGGAACGGCUUCUGCGGUAGCCUC